RNAcentral lists this ribosomal RNA (373 nucleotides) under uncultured organism. Its description in RNAcentral is "bacterial SSU rRNA". It matches the Rfam family "Bacterial small subunit ribosomal RNA", at positions 526 to 896 of the family's 1533-position model. The record is from RNAcentral.
CGGGGGGAGCAAGCGUUGUUCGGAUUUACUGGGCGUAAAGGGCGCGUAGGCGGUCAGCACAAGUCAGUUGUGAAAUCUCCGGGCUUAACUCGGAAAGGUCAACUGAUACUGUGCGACUAGAGUGCGGAAGGGGCAACUGGAAUUCUCGGUGUAGCGGUGAAAUGCGUAGAUAUCGAGAGGAACACCUGCGGCGAAGGCGGGUUGCUGGGCCGACACUGACGCUGAUGCGCGAAAGCCAGGGGAGCGAACGGGAUUAGAUACCCCGGUAGUCCUGGCCUUAAACGAUGGAUGCUUGGUGUCUGGAGUUUUAUAGUCUCCGGGUGCCGUAGCUAACGCGUUAAGCAUCCCGCUGGGGAGUACGGUCGCAAGACUG